CUUCUUCUCAGACCAGACACACAACGCUGCAAAGAUAGACUUUUCUCGUAUAGGCCUCCGGCUCUGCCUCAAGGACAUCACCAAAGAAUCUGUGUUGCGGUCUGUCCAAACUGUACUGGACAGUCCUAAGUACCGUGAGAACAUGAAGCAGUACUCCAUUCUAUUCCGUGAACAUCGACAACAUUCUGUGGAAACUGCUGUCUGGUGGCUAGAGUACGUUAUACGGCACAAUGGAGCUCCACACCUUUGCAGUGCCGCUGUUGACUUGUACUGGUGGCAGCUGCUACUGCUUGAUGUAAUUGGCUUUUUGUUGCUUGUUGUAGGAUUUGCAGUAGCAGUUGUCUAUUUUGUAACACGAAAAUUGAUCAAGGCAUUGACAAGUAAAAAACAUGUGAAAACAAAGAAACAAUAAUUUGUUUCCAGCUAUGAUGUGACCUUCACUGGAAGCAUUGCAUUUACAUGCUCAUUGGUGUUGAGCUACGUCUGUGUGGAUUAUUUAAGACUGAGCUUCAUGCUGAAAAAUUUCACAAAUGACAUUUUGUGAGUGAAAACAAAUCCAUGUGACAGAACAUUGUAUUCUGUCUACAAAUAUGUGCACUGAUAAGUUAUAGAUUCAUCUAUUAAAAAUAACGUUCUCAUUCAUCAAA
Schistocerca piceifrons (Central American locust) is the source of this 647-nucleotide long non-coding RNA. RefSeq lists it as uncharacterized. NCBI's taxonomy places the organism in Eukaryota, Metazoa, Arthropoda, Insecta, Orthoptera, Acrididae. The transcript is spliced from 2 exons. The record is from RefSeq and is a predicted model, not a curated record.